CCUGUUCCAGAGCCAUUGCAAGUAUGACUGUUAUGUCACAUGUGCGUCAGUAGGUGGCAGAGAGAAGGGAGAGAAGUGUAUGUUGAGAGAAGUGUAUGUCUAUACUCCGUUAUGUCUGAUGAUUAGUAGCUUAAUACU
Small nucleolar RNA from Rattus rattus (black rat), 138 nucleotides. RefSeq annotates it as small nucleolar RNA SNORA17. The record is from RefSeq and is a predicted model, not a curated record. Lineage: Eukaryota; Metazoa; Chordata; Mammalia; Rodentia; Muridae. The transcript has a single exon.